GUGCUUGCUUUAUCAGCACAUACACUAAAAUUGAGAUAAUGCAGAGAUUAGCAUGGCCCCUGCGCAACGAUGGCCCACAAAUUCAUGAGGCAUUCCAUAGUUUU
Small nuclear RNA from Jaculus jaculus (lesser Egyptian jerboa), 104 nucleotides. NCBI's taxonomy places the organism in Eukaryota, Metazoa, Chordata, Mammalia, Rodentia, Dipodidae. The record is from Ensembl.